RNAcentral lists this ribosomal RNA (253 nucleotides) under uncultured Pusillimonas sp. RNAcentral's name for it is "partial 16S ribosomal RNA". It matches the Rfam family "Bacterial small subunit ribosomal RNA", at positions 524 to 776 of the family's 1533-position model. The record is from RNAcentral. Lineage: Bacteria; Pseudomonadati; Pseudomonadota; Betaproteobacteria; Burkholderiales; Alcaligenaceae.
GACGUAGGGUGCAAGCGUUAAUCGGAAUUACUGGGCGUAAAGCGUGCGCAGGCGGUUUGGAAAGAAAGGUGUGAAAUCCCAGAGCUUAACUUUGGAACUGCACUUUUAACUGCCAAGCUAGAGUAUGUCAGAGGGGGGUAGAAUUCCACGUGUAGCAGUGAAAUGCGUAGAGAUGUGGAGGAAUACCGAUGGCGAAGGCAGCCCCCUGGGAUAAUACUGACGCUCAUGCACGAAAGCGUGGGGAGCAAACAGG